AACGAACGCUGGCGGCAUGCCUAACACAUGCAAGUCGAACGAGACCUUCGGGUCUAGUGGCGCACGGGUGCGUAACGCGUGGGAAUCUACCCCUGGGUUCGGAAUAACAGUUAGAAAUGACUGCUAAUACCGGAUGAUGACGUAAGUCCAAAGAUUUAUCGCCCAAGGAUGAGCCCGCGUAAGAUUAGCUUGUUGGUGGGGUAAUGGCCUACCAAGGCGACGAUCUUUAGCUGGUCUGAGAGGAUGAUCAGCCACACUGGGACUGAGACACGGCCCAGAAUCCUAAGGGAGGGAGCAGUGGGGAAUAUUGGACAAUGGGCGAAAGCCUGAUCCAGCAAUGCCGCGUGAGUGAUGAAGGCCUUAGGGUUGUAAAGCUCUUUUACCAGGGAUGAUAAUGACAGUACCUGGAGAAUAAGCUCCGGCUAACUCCGUGCCAGCCGCCGCCGUAA
Molecule: ribosomal RNA, 449 nt
Filed under: uncultured bacterium
Lineage: Bacteria
Description: partial 16S ribosomal RNA
Rfam family: Bacterial small subunit ribosomal RNA
Source: RNAcentral